This 752-nucleotide ribosomal RNA is filed under the name uncultured bacterium. Its description in RNAcentral is "bacterial SSU rRNA". It matches the Rfam family "Bacterial small subunit ribosomal RNA", at positions 78 to 816 of the family's 1533-position model. The record is from RNAcentral.
AUUGCUCCUUUGACGUUAGCGGCGGACGGGUGAGUAACACGUGGAUAACCUACCUAUAAGACUGGGAUAACUUCGGGAAACCGGAGCUAAUACCGGAUAAGAUUUUGAACCGCAUGGUUCAAUAGUGAAAGACGGCCUUGCUGUCACUUAUAGAUGGAUCCGCGCCGUAUUAGCUAGUUGGUAAGGUAACGGCUUACCAAGGCAACGAUACGUAGCCGACCUGAGAGGGUGAUCGGCCACACUGGAACUGAGACACGGUCCAGACUCCUACGGGAGGCAGCAGUAGGGAAUCUUCCGCAAUGGGCGAAAGCCUGACGGAGCAACGCCGCGUGAGUGAUGAAGGUCUUCGGAUCGUAAAACUCUGUUAUCAGGGAAGAACAAACGUGUAAGUAACUGUGCACGUCUUGACGGUACCUGAUCAGAAAGCCACGGCUAACUACGUGCCAGCAGCCGCGGUAAUACGUAGGUGGCAAGCGUUAUCCGGAAUUAUUGGGCGUAAAGCGCGCGUAGGCGGUUUUUUAAGUCUGAUGUGAAAGCCCACGGCUCAACCGUGGAGGGUCAUUGGAAACUGGAAAACUUGAGUGCAGAAGAGGAAAGUGGAAUUCCAUGUGUAGCGGUGAAAUGCGCAGAGAUAUGGAGGAACACCAGUGGCGAAGGCGACUUUCUGGUCUGUAACUGACGCUGAUGCGCGAAAGCGUGGGGAUCAAACAGGAUUAGAUACCCUGGUAGUCCACGCCGUAAACGAUGAGUGC